Centruroides sculpturatus (bark scorpion) is the source of this 329-nucleotide long non-coding RNA. RefSeq lists it as uncharacterized. The transcript is spliced from 3 exons. NCBI's taxonomy places the organism in Eukaryota, Metazoa, Arthropoda, Arachnida, Scorpiones, Buthidae. The record is from RefSeq and is a predicted model, not a curated record.
AAUAAACUUUGUAAAUAUAACUGAUGAUGUUACUAUAGAAAUUGUAUCCCAAGGACAAUAUAUUCUGCAAAUAUUCUUUUUUUUGAGCGCAUUUUUAACAUUCUAUCUACGUAGAAACGAUGAAGAAAACUCUAUAUCAUAUUACUUUAUUUUUUAUCAAGCGAUACACAAGAUUGACUAUUCCUUUGCUUUUCAUAUUGGCUUUCUUCAUAAUUUUGCCAAUUUGUGGCGAAGGACCACACUGGGAUCUCGUAUACGAAGAAGCACAAAGAGUUGAACAACACUGGUGGAGAUACAUUCUUCAUGUUAUAAAUUUAGGCAACAUUAAA